Molecule: non-coding RNA, 103 nt
Filed under: Octadecabacter temperatus
Lineage: Bacteria; Pseudomonadati; Pseudomonadota; Alphaproteobacteria; Rhodobacterales; Roseobacteraceae
Description: TPP sequence
Rfam family: TPP riboswitch aptamer (THI element)
About the family: Vitamin B(1) in its active form thiamin pyrophosphate (TPP) is an essential coenzyme that is synthesised by coupling of pyrimidine and thiazole moieties in bacteria. The previously detected thiamin-regulatory element, thi box was extended, resulting in a new, highly conserved RNA secondary structure, the THI element, which is widely distributed in eubacteria and also occurs in some archaea. Analysis of operon structures identified a large number of new candidate thiamin-regulated genes, mostly transporters, in various prokaryotic organisms.
Source: Rfam by way of RNAcentral
UUGCGUACCUCGGGGGGCUUCGAAUGAAGCUGAGAUGCCACAUGGCGGACCCGUAGAACCUGAACCGGUUAAGACCGGCGGAGGGAAGGUAACGGGCUAAGUU